GGGGAGAUCAGCAGAAGUCCAUCCAAGUUUGCAUUUGCAGAAUUCUGUGACAUGGCAUUGAAGAGUUCAUUCUCUUUUGCAAUAGAGAAUCUCUAGAAAUGUGGCAAAGGUCUUUAAUUGGGCAGGAAGUAGCAAGCCAAUGAGUUCCUCUGUGCAGAAGAGCAAGGUUUCGUAGUAAAUAUUUAAAGGAAGUUGGACCUGGGAAGUGGCGUGAAGUGUGCACUGGAGAAGAGAGGCUGGUGUCAAGGAAGCCACCGGAGAUGGGAUGGAUAGCAACUGGAGGAACAUUCCAGGCAGAAGGAAAGAAGACAAACACAUGUUCCUGGGCUCCACACCGGCACAGUGAAACAGAACUCAUGAAGAUGAGGACUGGUCAUUUCAAGAUCUUCAGUGGGUUCCAUGCAUCUUAAAAUGCUUUGUUAGCCAACGAUCCAACACAAACUGUCAAUGGCAUCUCUGAGAGAUGUUCUUCCAGACUUUUGCUUGAAUACUUUCAGGGGUGAGAUGCCCACUACCUAUCGGCAUAUCCUUUUUCCUUUUGGUCCAGGUCAUAUCAAUGGAACUGUGUCUAGAUAACGAGCUGAAAUCUGUUUUUCAUGGACCUCUGAAGUGCU
Molecule: long non-coding RNA, 614 nt
Filed under: Callithrix jacchus (white-tufted-ear marmoset)
Lineage: Eukaryota; Metazoa; Chordata; Mammalia; Primates; Cebidae
Description: lncRNA (ENSCJAG00000084772.1)
Source: RNAcentral